AUGAGCGGCCUGUCUUGUACACACCGGUCUGGACUGAUCUCAGAAGCAUAGCAGCGUUGGGUCUGGUUAAUCCUUGAAUGGGAGACCGCCUGGGACCACCGGCCGCUGUGAUU
Molecule: ribosomal RNA, 113 nt
Filed under: Oryzias melastigma (Indian medaka)
Lineage: Eukaryota; Metazoa; Chordata; Actinopteri; Beloniformes; Adrianichthyidae
Source: RNAcentral